RNAcentral lists this ribosomal RNA (429 nucleotides) under uncultured bacterium. Its description in RNAcentral is "bacterial SSU rRNA". It matches the Rfam family "Bacterial small subunit ribosomal RNA", at positions 958 to 1385 of the family's 1533-position model. The record is from RNAcentral.
AACGCGAAGAACCUUACCAGGGCUUGACAUCCUCUGUAAACUGCAGAAAUGCAGUCCCCAUGGCAACAUGGCAGGGUGACAGGUGCUGCAUGGCUGUCGUCAGCUCGUGUCGUGAGAUGUUGGGUUAAGUCCCGCAACGAGCGCAACCCUCGUCGAGUGUUGCCAUCAUUUAGUUGGGCACUCACUCGAGACCGCCGUUGAUAAGACGGAGGAAGGUGGGGAUGACGUCAAGUCCGCAUGGCCCUUACGUCCUGGGCUACACACGUGCUACAAUGGCCGGUACAACGAGCCGCAAGUCUGCAAAGACAAGCCAAUCUCUGAAAACCGGUCUCAGUUCGGAUUGCAGGCUGCAACUCGCCUGCAUGAAGUCGGAAUCGCUAGUAACCGCAGAUCAGCUACGCUGCGGUGAAUACGUUCCCGGGCCUUGUA